UACGGGGGGGGCAAGCGUUGUUCGGAAUUACUGGGCGUAAAGGGCUCGUAGGUGGCCAAUUAAGUCAGGCGUGAAAUCCCCAGGCUCAACUUGGGAACUGCGUCUGAUACUGGCUGGCUUGAAUUCGGGAGAGGGAUGCAGAAUUCCAGGUGUAGCGGUGAAAUGCGUAGAUAUCGUAAGGAAGGCCGGUGGCGAAAGCGAGCCUCUGGACAGUUACUGACGCUGAUGCACGAAGGCCAGGGGAGCAAACGGG
Molecule: ribosomal RNA, 253 nt
Filed under: uncultured bacterium
Lineage: Bacteria
Description: partial 16S ribosomal RNA
Rfam family: Bacterial small subunit ribosomal RNA
Source: RNAcentral